RNAcentral lists this ribosomal RNA (465 nucleotides) under uncultured bacterium. RNAcentral describes it as "partial 16S ribosomal RNA". It matches the Rfam family "Bacterial small subunit ribosomal RNA", at positions 28 to 507 of the family's 1533-position model. The record is from RNAcentral.
GACGAACGCUGGCGGCGUGCUUAACACAUGCAAGUCGUACGGUAAGGCCCUUUCGGGGGUACACGAGUGGCGAACGGGUGAGUAACACGUGAGUAACCUGCCCACAACUUUGGGAUAACGCUAGGAAACUGGUGCUAAUACUGGAUAUGUGCUCCUGCUGCAUGGUGGGGGUUGGAAAGCUCCGGCGGUUGUGGAUGGACUCGCGGCCUAUCAGCUUGUUGGUGGGGUAGUGGCCUACCAAGGCGGCGACGGGUAGCCGGCCUGAGAGGGUGACCGGCCACAUUGGGACUGAGAUACGGCCCAGACUCCUACGGGAGGCAGCAGUGGGGAAUAUUGCACAAUGGGCGCAAGCCUGAUGCAGCAACGCCGCGUGCGGGAGGACGGCCUUCGGGUUGUAAACCGCUUUCAGCGGGGACGAAGCUUUUUGUGACGGUACCUGCAGAAGAAGCACCGGCUAACUACGUG